This 758-nucleotide small RNA is filed under the name Pongo abelii (Sumatran orangutan). RNAcentral's name for it is "processed transcript". Lineage: Eukaryota; Metazoa; Chordata; Mammalia; Primates; Hominidae. The record is from RNAcentral.
GCCCGCGCGUGGAGGGUUGGGGUUAGCGGCCGCGGGGGCCGGUGGGGGUCGUGGGGCCUCCCCCACCCGAGUACAGGCGAGCGAGCGGCAUCCGGGCGGACCCCCGCCUCGGGGACCGGGAAACUGAGGCUCGGGCGGCCCCGAGACGCCGUCAAGGUCACGUGUCCCUGGCCAGUGUCCUUCCACCUGUCCACAAGCAUGGGGAACAUCUUCGCCAACCUCUUCAAGGGCCUUUUUGGCAAAAAAGAAAUGCGCAUCCUCAUGGUGGGCUUGGAUGCUGCAGGGAAGACCACGAUCCUGUACAAGCUUAAGCUGGGUGAGAUCGUGACCACCAUUCCCACCAUAGGUGAGGUGGGGGCCAGCAGGGAGUGGGCUGGGCUGGGCUGGGCCAAGGUACAAGGCCUCACCCUGCAUCCCGCACCCAGGCUUCAACGUGGAAACUGUGGAGUACAAGAACAUCAGCUUCACUGUGUGGGACGUGGGUGGCCAGGACAAGAUCCGGCCCCUGUGGCGCCACUACUUCCAGAACACACAAGGCCUGAUCUUCGUGGUGGACAGCAAUGACAGAGAGCGCGUGAACGAGGCCCGUGAGGAGCUCAUGAGGAUGCUGGCCGAGGACGAGCUCCGGGAUGCUGUCCUCCUGGUGUUCGCCAACAAGCAGGACCUCCCCAACGCCAUGAAUGCGGCUGAGAUCACAGACAAGCUGGGGCUGCACUCCCUACGCCACAGGAACUGGUACAUUCAGGCCACCUGCGCCA